Molecule: ribosomal RNA, 255 nt
Filed under: uncultured bacterium
Lineage: Bacteria
Description: partial 16S ribosomal RNA
Rfam family: Bacterial small subunit ribosomal RNA
Source: RNAcentral
UACAGAGGGUGCAAGCGUUAAUCGGAAUUACUGGGCGUAAAGCGCACGUAGGUGGUUGAAUAAGUUUUGAUGUGAAAGCCCCGGGCUUAACCUGGGAAUGGCGUUGAAGACUGUUGAACUUGAGUCGGACAGAGGGUUGUGGAAUUUCCGGUGUAGCGGUGAAAAUGCGUAGAGAUCGGAAAGAACACCAGUGGCGAAGGCGACAGCCUGGGUCCAGACUGACACUGAGGGGCGAAAGCGUGGGGAGCAAACAGG